This 491-nucleotide ribosomal RNA is filed under the name uncultured bacterium. RNAcentral's name for it is "partial 16S ribosomal RNA". It matches the Rfam family "Bacterial small subunit ribosomal RNA", at positions 29 to 507 of the family's 1533-position model. The record is from RNAcentral.
GUGCACGCUGGCGGUAGGCCUAACACAUGCAAGUCGAACGGCAGCACAGUAAGAGCUUGCUCUUACGGGUGGCGAGUGGCGGACGGGUGAGGAAUACAUCGGAAUCUACUUUUUCGUGGGGGAUAACGUAGGGAAACUUACGCUAAUACCGCAUACGACCUACGGGUGAAAGCAGGGGAUCUUCGGACCUUGCGCGAUUGAAUGAGCCGAUGUCGGAUUAGCUAGUUGGCGGGGUAAAGGCCCACCAAGGCGACGAUCCGUAGCUGGUCUGAGAGGAUGAUCAGCCACACUGGAACUGAGACACGGUCCAGACUCCUACGGGAGGCAGCAGUGGGGAAUAUUGGACAAUGGGCGCAAGCCUGAUCCAGCCAUACCGCGUGGGUGAAGAAGGCCUUCGGGUUGUAAAGCCCUUUUGUUGGGAAAGAAAAGCAGCAGGUUAAUACCCCGCUGUUCCGACGGUACCCAAAGAAUAAGCACCGGCUAACUUCGUG